CCUACGGGAGGCAGCAGUGAGGAAUAUUGGUCAAUGGACGGAAGUCUGAACCAGCCAUGCCGCGUGCAGGAAGACGGCUCUAUGAGUUGUAAACUGCUUUUGUACAAGGGUAAACCUGAAUACGUGUAUUCGGCUGAAAGUACUGUACGAAUAAGGAUCGGCUAACUCCGUGCCAGCAGCCGCGGUAAUACGGAGGAUCCAAGCGUUAUCCGGAUUUAUUGGGUUUAAAGGGUGCGUAGGCGGAUUGAUAAGUUAGAGGUGAAAUGUCCGAGCUUAACUCGGGAACUGCCGCUAAUGCUGUUGAUCUAGAGAGUAGAUGCGGUAGGCGGAAUGUAUGGUGUAGCGGUGAAAUGCUUAGAGAUCAUACAGAACACCGAUUGCGAAGGCAGCUUACCAAUCUAUAUCUGACGUUGAGGCACGAAAGCGUGGGGAGCAAACAGGAUUAGAUACCCGGGUAGUC
RNAcentral lists this ribosomal RNA (460 nucleotides) under uncultured bacterium. RNAcentral describes it as "partial 16S ribosomal RNA". It matches the Rfam family "Bacterial small subunit ribosomal RNA", at positions 338 to 795 of the family's 1533-position model. The record is from RNAcentral.